GCAAUUGAGCUUGCAGAGAUUUGUUUCAGCAGCAGUAGGAAGCUGCUACAACUCCCACUUUGCAGCUGGGGUAACCGAGGCUCGUCUGCUCAGAGACAGGUGGCCCCUCGGAAGGCACUGUCUUCCGCAGGAGACGUCCUGUCCUUGUGGCCGUGCCCGUCUGCAGGGGCGGUGACCAGCGCCAAAGAAGCCUGUGCCGCUGCUCUGGGGCCUGUCAGGCCUCACACGGGAGGGACCAGAUGCCAUGCGGCAUUUCUCCGGGCCCGAGAUCCUGACUCAGGCCACACUCCCAGUCCCUCCACCACUGCCAGGCUGAUGCACUGGAAAAAAAAGAAAAAAGAAAGAAAAAAAAAAGCCAGCAUUUUGCAGAACUUUUGCUCCAUUAUCGGAUGUUGGGGGCCAGCCCCUGAGAGCUCUCCUCAGCACUCCUCCUUCCAAUUGAGGCACUUCGAUACCUGCUGUUGAUUCCCUGAGAGUCCUUGAUGCGGAACCCACCCGGGAACUUGAGAGAGCCGUGAGAAACCAUUUCCCAAAAGCCUUCCCAGACUUUAUCUGGCCCAAGUUCCCAGGUGACGGGGUUGCAAGGCCGCCCGCCACGCCCACGGUGACAGAGCCUGACUCCCAGCUCGCAGGAGCAUCCUUCACGCCGCGGCGGGUCAGGAACGUCGUCUUCGGACUUGAUGAAAUUUUCAUUCCUGACGUUAAUGGUGUCUUUCUCUCCGCCCCGCUCCCCAAUCUAACCAGACCAAAUACAGGAGGCCGUGGAGGGCAGGCAGCAGGCAUCUGGGGACACAUAGGCCUCCUCCUGUGCUUGUGUCUUACUUACAACCACUACACAAUAUCCCGUCAGGGCCACGCCACCCUCACUUAACCAAAUGCCUAUCCUUCGAGCAUUGAGCUGUUCCUACCUCUAUUGCUAUAAGCAAUAGUUCUGAACAUCUUUGUGCAUAAUUUUCCUUCCAAAUUCUAGAUGAUUUCCUUUGAGACAUUUCCAGAGGCAUAGUUCCUGGAUCAAAGGCAAAAGCCUUUUAAGGUCUUAGAUACAUAUGCCAAACGGUCUCCUGAGACGUCGGUGUGCAGCCCUGCAUGAGCCCAGCCAAACUAGCCAGUGCGGGGCGAAUGCUUGGUUUUUUUUUUUUUUUUUUUUUUAAGAUUUUAUUUAUUUAUUCUUGAGAGACAGAGACACAGGCAGAGGGAGAAGCAGGCUCCAUGCAGGGAGCCUGACGUGGGACUCAAUCCCGGGACCCCAGGAUCACAGCCUGGGCCGAAGGUGGUGCUAAACCACUGAGCCACCCAGGCUGCCCCAAAUGCUUGGUCUUGAAUCCUUCGUUAAUCAAACUCACUGGAAGUCACACAAGAGCUUCAGAUGGACAGAAGCUCCCACCAGGGUGACCACGCUGAGCUGACAUGAUUCCAUGCCAAAGUGAGGUGUGUGCUGUUUUCACAGCCUUCUAGCUCCAGAGCAGGGACGCGAGGUUCUUUUGUACCAUUCUGGAAGAUGGAGAAACUGGAUGACACAGGUUCUGGGAACCAAGAUGGCCUCACCUCCCUCCAUGCAGGUGACCCUGCCAUCUCUGCUCCUGUGUCGGGGUUUCCUAAAUGCACUCCCUGUGUUGGCUGUAGUUAUGUGAACAUUUACUUGUUGCUUAAAAUUAAGGUAAAAGAAUCCCUGGAGAGACCUGUUUACAAAAAAAAAAAAAAAAAAAACUAAACGCAAGAAUUCCUCCAAUAGCUAAAUAUCCUGUCACAAAGAAUGCAAACUUAACUUGUAUGCAUUCUGGGCAAACUGAUCUAGACCUGCACCGUAUCUGGAAUCUGGGUGGACGUGGGCCGGGGUUUUCCUCUUACUCAUCUCUUACUAGGGGUGCUGGCUCACUCCCAGCUGUAGAUCCCCCGUCUGCAAAAUGACUUAGGACAAGC
RNAcentral lists this long non-coding RNA (1920 nucleotides) under Canis lupus familiaris (dog). RNAcentral describes it as "lncRNA (ENSCAFG00000059104.1)". The record is from RNAcentral. Lineage: Eukaryota; Metazoa; Chordata; Mammalia; Carnivora; Canidae.